AAAGGGUGCAGGCAAAAGCUUAUAAACACCCACCCCUUUUUUAUGUGUGUAUGUAUAUAUAUAUAUAUAUAUCUCAGAAAAGCUUCAGAGACUUGUGGACGGAUGCAUGACCUGCCAACAAAACAGAACAAGUAUGGCCAGUUUGAACGAACAUUGGGUCAUUUUAUAGACAAGCAGUUAAACUUUGCACAUAUGCUGACAAGGCUAUAAAUACCUCUUGGUAACUGUAUAUCAGUUUUAAAAAUACUUUACAAUAUUUAUUUAAGAGUGAUGAUACAUAAAAUGUUGCCACAAAGUAUGGGAAAAAUAUGGUGCAUAUAAGAUGCCUUGUUCUAGCGAAUUACAGACUUGUCCAUGGUCAGGCUGUACCAAAAUAUACUCAAGUAAUACAAUGCAGUGAUACAAUCAAGAAAUAAACAGUGUGGUUGUACAUUACAGAUUAAAACACAAAUUUAACAUUAAACACUGUUAAAGUGCUACUGUACUGAAAAUGACUUGAGAGAAAUUAAUGUUCACAUUUCUUCUGCAGCCUGAGCCAAUGUUGAACUUUCAAACUAAACUGCUUUAGUUCUGUUUGGGAUUAAUUUCUGAUGGUAAAGAAUUCUAGAAGUGUAUAUUUUAUGUAUCCUGUAAAUAUACAUGUAUGUUAAUGGAAGUUAACCAGACUGGGCAAAAGACUGACUGUAAACCCGGGUGUUGGUGUUUCUGUGUUACUUAAGGACACGAGCUGCCUUUACUUCAUGACGCAUCACGACCUGUGUCGUGCUGGAGAGUAAACUCGUCUUUAACUUUAAUUACAGACAGGAUGCCAGAGGGGCGUUGGUGCGUGCUAUUGCACACAGAGAAUCUUGAAAUGUUCAAAAAAUAAAUUCUUGGAAUCCUGCUGAGAUGUCAUUGAUGAAGUCAUCUCAUCUGCUGUUAAUUAGUGAAAUCACCUGGUGGAGUUGGUGGUUCCACAGAAACCUGCACCCUCUUUUGCCCUUUCUGGACUCAGGUUGACACCUCUAUGUACUCUUACUGAUUUGUUAUAUUGCUCACCCAAAGUUUAAGUUUGAAGAUAAAUGGUGAUGGGAACAAUCCCCCCCCCCCCCAAAAAAAGGCUCUUACAAGGUGUCACCGCUCUCUUCUGAUGAGGUAAAGGUAUCAGAUCCUGUUGAGCCUUGGUGUUACACAAGACGACACCUGACUGUGAUUUAAUCAUUAACAGUGAUUCCUGGCAUGUGAGAUUGCGUGAAUGAAACUGCAUGAUAAAACAAUCACUUCUUCGCAUGUCCAUAGCUAUAAAGAUCGCUAUAAAAAUUGUAAUGUCUGUCUAUGUCUCUGCUAAACUCUGUAUUGUCCUUUCUUUACACUGAGGCCAAUGGAAGGAGAGAAUGUGAACUACAUCCAUCUGGGUCCUCCACCCCACUUUUCGACUUACAACACUCCUCUGCAGUCCCGUGCUCCUCAUCACACCCGCCACUCCACAUCGCGAGGAAGUACAGUGGAGUGGCAGGGGCAUGGUCGUGGCAUCACGGGACGAGGAGGAGAGGAUUAAAGAUGGAGGGGACGAGGAUGGUAUUGGCUCAAAAAGUAGCAAACAUGGACAUUUGAGCAAGAAGCUGCAGAGCAACAGGAGAUGCCAGAGGACCCAGACCGGAUUGAGAUCAUCCUCCAGCAUGACUCCCUGCCGAGUCGACCACAUGGCACAUGAACGUAGACAGUACUAUACCACACAUUAAAGAUCAAAUCCAGGCUUGCAGCUCAGAUGUACCUUCUGGAAAUUUGUGGCUAAACCUGCAGGUCUUCUCAAGAAAAUCCUCCUCUGCUCCACUUCAUCAUGACGCUGUGUAACUGGUGAUACAAAAUGCAAAACCUGCACUGUGCACAGUUUCUCCAGUCACAGCCACAGAAGCCUGGAACUUCUUCUGGGUUGGGUGUCUUGGUGGCUUUCCUCACUCUUUUCCUUUUUGCACAAUCACUGUUUUUGUGAACUGUCUACUCCACACAGAUUUACCACAGAGUGUCAUACUGUUUGUGUUUCUUCAUAACUGAUGUCAGUAAAGUCCAAAACCUAUUCAGUGGCAGCUUCACUGUCAGAGAGCCUCGUCCACAAGGACCACAAAAGACUGAGCUGUCGAUGUUAAAGGGGGAAACACGGUAUGAAGAACAGGCGGAUGGAAACCUUUGAUCACAGUCAUAAGAACGACACCAACCUCUCUCCGCCGGAUCUUCCUGGCGAGCUCAGUGGCGGAGGCGAGCAGCAGCGGGCUCCGGACCGGCGGCAGCUUCUUCACGGACUCUGCAGGUCUCCGCGGAGAGAAGAGCCGGAAGAGCGCGAACAGG
Long non-coding RNA from Thalassophryne amazonica, 2325 nucleotides. RefSeq lists it as uncharacterized. The transcript is spliced from 4 exons. Lineage: Eukaryota; Metazoa; Chordata; Actinopteri; Batrachoidiformes; Batrachoididae. The record is from RefSeq and is a predicted model, not a curated record.